AACACAUGCAAGUCGGGCGGUAACACAGGGAAGCUUGCUCCCGGGUGACGAGCGGCGGACGGGUGAGUAAUGUCUGGGAAACUGCCUGAUGGAGGGGGAUAACUACUGGAAACGGUAGCUAAUACCGCAUAACGUCGCAAGACCAAAGAGGGGGACCUUCGGGCCUCUUGCCAUCAGAUGUGCCCAGAUGGGAUUAGCUAGUAGGUGGGGUAAUGGCUCACCUAGGCGACGAUCCCUAGCUGGUCUGAGAGGAUGACCAGCCACACUGGAACUGAGACACGGUCCAGACUCCUACGGGAGGCAGCAGUGGGGAAUAUUGCACAAUGGGCGCAAGCCUGAUGCAGCCAUGCCGCGUGUAUGAAGAAGGCCUUCGGGUUGUAAAGUACUUUCAGCGGGGAGGAAGGCGUUGUGGUUAAUAACCACAGCGAUUGACGUUACCCGCAGAAGAAGCACCGGCUAACUCCGUGCCAGCAGCCGCGGUAAUACGGAGGGUGCAAGCGUUAAUCGGAAUUACUGGGCGUAAAGCGCACGCAGGCGGUCUGUCAAGUCGGAUGUGAAAUCCCCGGGCUCAACCUGGGAACUGCAUUCGAAACUGGCAGGCUAGAGUCUUGUAGAGGGGGGUAGAAUUCCAGGUGUAGCGGUGAAAUGCGUAGAGAUCUGGAGGAAUACCGGUGGCGAAGGCGGCCCCCUGGACAAAGACUGACGCUCAGGUGCGAAAGCGUGGGGGAGCAAACAGGAUUAGAUACCCUGGUAGUCCACGCCGUAACGAUGUCGACUUGGGAGGGUUGUUCCCUUGAGGAGUGGCUUCCGGAGCUAACGCGUUAAGUCGACCGCCCUGGGGAGUAC
Molecule: ribosomal RNA, 846 nt
Filed under: uncultured Enterobacter sp.
Lineage: Bacteria; Pseudomonadati; Pseudomonadota; Gammaproteobacteria; Enterobacterales; Enterobacteriaceae
Description: bacterial SSU rRNA
Rfam family: Bacterial small subunit ribosomal RNA
Source: RNAcentral